UGGAGGGGGCAAGCGUUGCUCGGAAUCACUGGGCGUAAAGGGCGCGUAGGCGGGAUGGCAAGUCGGUCGUGAAAUCCCUGGGCUCAACUCAGGGGGGUCGGCCGAUACUGCCGUUCUUGAGGGAUGCAGAGGAGACUGGAAUUCCCGGUGUAGCGGUGAAAUGUGUAGAGAUCGGGAGGAACACCGGUGGCGAAGGCGGGUCUCUGGGCAUUCCCUGACGCUGAGGCGCGAAAGCGUGGGGAGCAAACGGGAUUAGAUACCCCGGUAGUCCACGCGGUAAACGAUGACGACUAGGUGUGGGGGGGUUAAGUCCCUUCCGUGCCGCAGCUAACGCAUUAAGUCGUCCGCCUGGGGAGUACGGCCGCAAGGUUGA
RNAcentral lists this ribosomal RNA (373 nucleotides) under uncultured organism. Its description in RNAcentral is "bacterial SSU rRNA". It matches the Rfam family "Bacterial small subunit ribosomal RNA", at positions 526 to 897 of the family's 1533-position model. The record is from RNAcentral.